GGACGGGGCAGGGAACCUAGAGGCAACAUCUGUCACCCCCUUGAUCACCAGGGUUGACUGGGCUGAUUUGGAUGGUUAGGCAGGUGUCCCCUUCCUCCCUCACCACUCCAUGUGUGACUUUUGGUGAAGCUGUGUGCUUGGUGGAAGAGGACAACCACCCUGGAUAGAGAAGGAGAGCCAUUUCCUUGAUCACGGGUAUACGAGUAGUUACAUUCCCCCGUUAGAACCUCCAAACAAGCUUUUAAAGAAACUGAGGCAAGAGGAUUGCAGCGAGGCUAGCCUGUACUACAUAGUGAGGUCCUGU
This 304-nucleotide small nuclear RNA is filed under the name Chinchilla lanigera (long-tailed chinchilla). Its description in RNAcentral is "7SK RNA (ENSCLAG00000022163.1)". It matches the Rfam family "7SK RNA". From Rfam's summary of the family: 7SK was discovered as an abundant small nuclear RNA in the mid-70s but a possible function has only recently been suggested. The record is from Rfam by way of RNAcentral. Lineage: Eukaryota; Metazoa; Chordata; Mammalia; Rodentia; Chinchillidae.